Molecule: long non-coding RNA, 2348 nt
Organism: Phascolarctos cinereus (koala)
Lineage: Eukaryota; Metazoa; Chordata; Mammalia; Diprotodontia; Phascolarctidae
Source: Ensembl
CCCAAAAGAUUCACAUCAGCUCCGCCACCUACCAGACCCUCCUGACGGAUGACGCGUAUGAAAUUGAGCUUCGAGGAGAGAUUGACGUCAAGGUGAGAAGCGGCUGGGUUAGAUCGAUUGAGAUGCCAGCUUAGGCCCACAGUGAUCAUAGCACCUGAGAUGUAGAGCUGGGGAGGGCUUUAAGAGGUCAUCUUGAGCACACCUCCCCUUCCUCCCAUUUUACAGAAGGGUAAGCAACUUGUGGAAACAACUAGCAAGCAUCCGAGGUGAUGCUGUUUCCAUUGUAUAUUCCCCCUCACUAGAGGCCUUCGAACAGAGACUGGCUGCCUCCUUGGCUCUUGGGAUGUUGUAGAAAGGAUUCCCGUUCAGGUACAAGUUGGACUUGAUAACUGCCGACAUCAUAGGAUUGAAGAGGCUGUUUUACAGAUGAGGUCCCAUUUUACAGAUAAAGAACUGAGGUCCAGAGAGGUUAAGGGACCUUCCCAACAGUAGUAGGAAGCGGAGCCAGGAUUUAAAUGCAAGUGCCACUCUGCUACACUGCUCCCCUCCCUUCCAACUUUGAGAUUCUGCUGGUGAUAUUUCUUUCAUUCAUUCAUUCAAAAAAUAAUUGUUGGGUACCUACUGGAUGUAAGGCAUUUAGCACAGCACUAUGGGACUGGGGUGGAGGAAACCCAAGACCCAUCCCUGCCCUCUCGUAGGGGCCUGAUAGGACACAGCUGUAGCAGGAAUCCAAGCUCCCAGAGAUGCCGCGGUCUCACAGGCCCAGCUGAGGUGCUUCCCCUUCUUUCAGGGCAAAGGAAAAAUGAAAACCUACUGGCUCCUGGGGAACAAGAAGUACGGUGUUCAGAACGACAGCCUGGUGUGCCACUGGUGGCCUUCCCAUAAUGCCUCUGGAAACAAGAUGGCAGAGAGCAGCCCAUGCUUGGGCCUGGCUUCCAGUGCAAUGGGAGCUGCCCUGGGUGAAGCCCCUGAAACAGCCUCCUCAACAGAAAAGGUCUCAUCUAGCAAUACCACAAACCCCUCUGAGCUGAUGGGGCAGCCUGGGGGUGAGAUGCCCCAUAGACCCAUACUAGGUGAUGGAGCCUCCCUCCUGGCAUCCCCUUCUCCUGGCCAAAGCACCCCUGUAUGCCCGAGGAACAGCAGCCAGGGGCACCUAGGGAAGGACAAAUUCCUGCCCGGUUUCGUGGAGGAGAUGGAAUAAACCCAAUGGAUUGGCCUUCCCAGGAGCUGGACUUCAGGGCUAUCUCUUCAGGUCUGUGGAUGGGCCACUGACCCAAGGGCCAAAGCCUGGACUCAACACAAGGAGAAGGAUCUGAGGACUAAACUCUGGAAGCUAAAAGCAGCCUUUGGUGCCAACUGAGACCCCUUGUCUGUAACCUCAAACUCUAUGAGCUCCUUUGGGAGUGAAGGGUAAAAAGGGGCAGUGAGCAGGACUUGGUCUGGAGAGCUACACCUGGGAAUAAUGGGCUUAUGGAGUCUGACCUGUAAGGGAGCUUAGAGACCAUUUAGUCCAGGAGUCCUUACCCUGGGAUGGACUCUAGGAGUCUCUAAAUUUGGAUGGGAAAAAUUACAUCUCUAUUUUUACUAACUUCUAACUACAAUUUAGCAUUUCCAUCAAUUAUGAAUUUUAAAAAAAACCCAUUAUUCUAGCAACAGGUUGGUGGAUUUUAGCUGCUAAAGACAUACACAAAGGGUAAGAACCCCAGAUCCAGUCCAUGAUGCUAUUUUACAAAAAAAGAAACUGAGGCUCAGAGGAGUGAACUGAUUUCCCAAGGUGACUUUGGUACAAUCCUCUGGGUCUCAGAUUCCUCAGCAGCGCCCUUCUGAGAUCUUUUCUUCCACUCUAAAAUGGGGAUAAUAAUAGCACCAACUUCACAGGGCUGUUAUGAGUAUGAAGGGAGAUAACCUAUGUUAAAUGCUUCACAAACCUUAAAGUAAUAUGGAAAUGUGUUAAAAUAGUAAUAAUAAUUAUUAGUAGCAGUUGUGUUAGUAUUACUAGUAUUUAUUAUUAUUAGUUAUUGUUGUAGUAGUAGGUAGUAGUAGUAGUAACAGUAGUAAUAAGAGGAGGAAAAGGAGUGGUAGUAGUAGUAGCAGCAGCAGCAGCAGUAAUAGUUACAGUAGUAGUGGUAGUAGUAGUAGUAGUAGUAGUAAUAGUAGUAAUAGGAGGGAAAGGUGGAGUAGUAGUAAGAGGAGGAGUAACAAUAAUAGUAGUGGUAGUAGUAGUGGUGGUGGUAGUAGUAGCAAUAGUAGCUCUAGAUGGCCUCUAAGGUUCUUUCCAAAUCUAAAUGGAUGAUCCCAUGAUCUUUGAAUGGGAACAGACUGAAUAAAAAUGGCUAACAUGGAGUUCA